RNAcentral lists this ribosomal RNA (465 nucleotides) under uncultured bacterium. Its description in RNAcentral is "partial 16S ribosomal RNA". It matches the Rfam family "Bacterial small subunit ribosomal RNA", at positions 339 to 795 of the family's 1533-position model. The record is from RNAcentral.
CUACGGGCCGCAGCAGUGAGGAAUAUUGCGCAAUGGGGGAAACCCUGACGCAGCGACGCCGCGUGGAUGAUGAAGGCCUUCGGGUAGUAAAAUCCUGUCAGAAGGAAAGAAGUGUAUGGUAGCUAAUAUCUGCCAUACUUGACGGUACCUUCAAAGGAAGCACCGGCUAACUCCGUGCCAGCAGCCGCGGUAAUACGGAGGGUGCAAGCGUUGUUCGGAAUUACUGGGCGUAAAGCGCGCGUAGGCGGUUUUAUAAGUCAGAUGUGAAAGUCCACGGCUCAACCAUGGAAGUGCAUUUGAAACUGUAAGACUUGAGUAUUGGAGGGGGUAGUGGAAUUCCCGGUGUAGAGGUGAAAUUCGUAGAUAUCGGGAGGAAUACCGGUGGCGAAGGCGACUAUCUGGCCAAAUACUGACGCUGAGGUGCGAAAGCGUGGGGAGCAAACAGGAUUAGAUACCCCUGUAGUC